GGGCGAUUGGCGCAGUGGUAGCGCAUCACAUUGACAUUGUGGGGGUCACUGGUUCAAGUCCAGUAUCGCCCACCA
RNAcentral lists this transfer RNA (75 nucleotides) under Candidatus Adamsella sp. RNAcentral's name for it is "tRNA-Val". It matches the Rfam family "tRNA". From Rfam's summary of the family: Transfer RNA (tRNA) molecules are approximately 80 nucleotides in length. Their secondary structure includes four short double-helical elements and three loops (D, anti-codon, and T loops). Further hydrogen bonds mediate the characteristic L-shaped molecular structure. tRNAs have two regions of fundamental functional importance: the anti-codon, which is responsible for specific mRNA codon recognition, and the 3' end, to which the tRNAs corresponding amino acid is attached (by aminoacyl-tRNA synthetases). tRNAs cope with the degeneracy of the genetic code in two manners: having more than one tRNA (with a specific anti-codon) for a particular amino acid; and 'wobble' base-pairing, i.e. permitting non-standard base-pairing at the 3rd anti-codon position. The record is from RNAcentral. Lineage: Bacteria; Bacillati.